CUCCCAGAGGCUGGAGCGGCUUGGGAGGGAGACAGGUUCUGCGGGUCCACUCGGUCAUAGGAGAUGAGCCUGACGAGGACCGGCCCGGGGCCCGAGUGGGCCAGAGGGGGUGAGAUGGUGACCGUGAGCUUGGGGUCAGCAGUCAGCGGCAUUUCAAAGGCCUCUGGUGGCAGACUGAGCAGGCGGCUUACCCUCACGUGCUCCCCGAAGGACACGAGCCCGAUGGAGAUGGUCUGCAGGAACGGCCGGAUGGCGGGCGUGAACUGUGGAGAGAUGCCGCUGGGUCACCCGCUGCCCAGGAGGGACUGGAGGCAGGCACGAGUGAGGGGCAGAGACGGGGUUUGGGGAGAGACGUGGUCAUCCAGCAAACAUUUAGUGAGCUCCUACUGUGUGCCAGGCACUGCUCUAGGGGACAGGAAGCAAAUAAAGGCAUAUGUUCGAUGUUAA
This is a non-coding RNA of Leptonychotes weddellii (Weddell seal), 447 nucleotides long. The record is from RefSeq and is a predicted model, not a curated record. NCBI's taxonomy places the organism in Eukaryota, Metazoa, Chordata, Mammalia, Carnivora, Phocidae.